AUUGAACGCUAGCGGCAUGCUUAACACAUGCAAUUCGAACGGUAACAGGUCUAGCUUGCUAGAUGCUGAAGAGUGGCGGACGGGUGAGUAACGCGUAGGAAUCUACCGUAUAGUGGGGGUUAACCUGGGUAAACUAAGGCUAAUACCGCAUUAGACCUAAGGGGGAAAGCAGGGGUCCGAAAGGCAUUGAGCUAUGAGAUGAGCGUGCGUUGGAUUAGCUAGUUGGGUGGGUAAAGGCCUACCAAGGCGAUGAUCCACAGCUGGUCUGAGAGGAUGAUCAGCCACUCUGGGAUUGGGACACGGCCCAGACUCCUACGGGAGGCAGCAGUGGGGAAUUGUGGACAAUGGGGGAACCCCUGAUCCAUCCAUGCCGCGUGAGUGAAGAAGGCCUUCGGGUUGUAAAGCUCUUUCGGACGGAAAGAAAUCGCACAGGUAAAUAAUCUGUGUGGAUGACGGUACCGUAAGAAGAAGCACCGGCUAACUACGUGCCAGCAGCCGCCGUAA
Molecule: ribosomal RNA, 504 nt
Filed under: uncultured bacterium
Lineage: Bacteria
Description: partial 16S ribosomal RNA
Rfam family: Bacterial small subunit ribosomal RNA
Source: RNAcentral